UCCCCCUUUCCUACUACUGGUUAUUUAGGAUCUCAGAACAUAAUAAUGCUUGGAACUCCAACAGCCAUCACCUGUAACUUCUCUUAAAGAUGCUAAAUCAGGGGUGCCUGAGUGGAACAAUCAAUUCAGCAUCCGACUCUUGGUUUCAGCUCAGGUCAUGAUCUCAGGGUUGUGAGAUGGAGCCCCAGGACAGGCUUAGUACUCAGUGUGAAGUCUACUUGAGUCUCUCCCUCCCUUUCUCUCUGCCCCUCCCACUCAAGCUCUCAUUCUCAAAUCUAAAAAAAAAAAAAAAACCACACACACACACACAAAACAAAAACUAAAAAAAUUAAAAAUAAUUAAAAAUAAAAGAUGCUAAGUGAAUCUAACAUCUCAUUCUUUAUCCAUUCGGCAAAUAUUCAUUAAGCAUCUAUUUUUUUGACAGGCAGGGUCUAUGAGGUAAAGGGCUCAGGAGGCAAGAAAGGGUGUGAGAAUACACCAUUCCCAGUCAUCACUUCACAGAUGAAGUGUUUCCCAUGACAGCAAAUGGCUGAAGAAGCCUUCUCAGUUGGGGGAAGGAGAAGCAAUGACAAAACAUGCUGGUAUCCCAGGUAAUUCCAGCAUAGUUUAAUGUUCUCACCAGCGUUCACUAGGACACCAGGGUCCCAAUUCAGUUCCCAUCAGGGAUAUUAAUAAUAACCAAAAGCUAUUCGUGAGGCAAAGGAAAAGAAAUGAAAGGCCCCCAGACCCAAACAAAGAAGGAUUCCAGCAGCAAAGUGCCACCAAGAAGAAACUGCGGGAACUUGGUCACCAGCGAUUCAUCUCUGCAGCCUGACCAUUUACUCUCUUUCCAGUUCAGUGGUAAUAGCGCUCACACCAUUUAGACUCAGCACUCAGACUGCUCCAGCCUGCCCGGAAAUCUGCAUGGAAGCCAAGGAUCAAAAUGCCUUUUCAUCUAAAGAACUGUGAAUUAACUCUCUGCCUUUUUAAUUACUCUCAAUUACUUUCCCACUAUUUAUAAGGAUUUUUUUUUUGCAUAACAAAAUCCAACUCUAAUCAAUAUAUGCAGUAUAUCCCAGCUGAUUAGUAUAAUUCUUGCUCCACCAUGAUGCUGGAGUUAUGCCAGCCUUACCUAGCACACAAUUAAAUGUCUGGUAAUGCCUGCUGCUACCCAGCAGGCCUCAUGAGUUAAUAGGGAAAAAACGGGAUUCACAUUUGCCUUUACCAGCCCUUAAGUGCCCUCUCUCUCUCUCUCAUCUGCUUGUAGACACGUACAAAGUGUGCCUAGAGAAAUAAGGGCCUGGAAUAAUCACACAAACCUAAAAGACACAGGGACAUAAGAAAAAAAAUCUCCAAAGUCUAACUUGUCAUCUCAUUUCAGUAAAUCCUUCCAGAAAUAAGGUAUCACUCUUCACACUUUCUAUUCCAAUACUGACCUGUGAGAUCACAUUCUAAGUACAGAAAAGAUUCAGAUAUCUAGACCCACCUAAAGCCAAUAUUAUGAAUUAUGUUCAGUGUACCUUCAAGCCAAUUUUCAAUAAACACAAAUCACUUAAUAAGAAAUUAAGAGCAUUACACACUUCUCAUGCUCCCAUGGAUUUGGUGUUAAUGAGAUUUUGUUUGUUAAGCUCACAGAAUGACAAAGUGUCUAAAAGACAGACACUGCCUUUUCCAAUUUCCAUUCAUUCAAGAAAUAGUUAUUGAGCACUUUUUGUAGUAAGUCAUUCCCAAUAUACACACCUGUUCACACACUGAUCUUACCAGCCCGCCCCUCAAAUAAUGCUUUAUUGCAGUGUAAUUAAAAAAAAAUAACAAAAUAAAACUAAGUAUUUGGAAUUUUACAAGACUUACAUUUUAAUCUAUUCUAUUACUAUCAGCCAGGUAAUUUCAUACAUUUGUCUAUACACACUAUGUGUCUGACACUGUAAAUCCAAUGCUUUACAGCAAGAUUCUCUUGCCCACAAAGGUCAGAACUGAGUAAGCAGUACCUGUAGGAUUCCCUCCAUGUCUCAGUGGCCACUGGAAAGGUGUGUUAAUUGUAGGUUAGUAUAACAAUAGUUCUAGCACACAUGUUUACAAAUGAUUUGGUUUUUAAAUGUAAAUUAGAAAGACUCCAAAGAUCCUUGUAAUAACAGCAUCCUUAUGUACAAAGGUAUUUAUUCCUUGCUUUUUGGAGUCAGAAAUGACUCCGCACUGAAGUGUGCUCCCACCUCCCACUAUUUUACCUUUGACUUAAUCUUAAGUGAACCUUAAUCUUCACACAUAUGUACCAUCAGGUACAAAUUCCUUUAUCAGAACUUCCUUGAAAACAAAGCAGUGCUACUGAAAGGUACCCAGGUAUUUGGAUGUGUCUAUGAUGCCUUUUUGGUGAACUUGCCACACUCCUUGAAAACUUAUGGAAAGAGCCACAGCUUUGACAGAUCAGCGAAUCAAGAACCUGGGUGUCUAUGCCUGGAGAUCUUUCCUCAGACUAGAAAAUGUGGACCUCAAAUAUACUCUAUCCUACCCACACCGGAAUCAUAAUACAGCCCCCAUACCUCAGGGAUAUUUUUCAGUAUUUGGUCACAGAUGUUCCACUGUGAAGGUCAAUGAUACACUAUUCAAGUUGAACAUAAACAAAUAUGGUCAUUCAGUUUUAAAUAUUAAACACUAGUAAGAUCCAACAAUAAUAAGAGUGGAGGAUUAAAGAUUAAUGGUCUAAAGGAGGAAAGACAGACUAGCAAAGGUGAUUUCAUUACAAGGCAGAUGGUAUUAAGCGCCACAAAAGUAAUACAAACUGUGGUGGGGAUCUGAAUGCAGAAAUGUGGAAAAGCAAUGCAGGAGGUAAGGUCUAUCUACAGGAGGUAAGGUGUAAGCAAACCUGCAGGAUGGCGUAGGGCUUCAGGUGAUUACAGGGGUUGAGCAGGGUGGACACAUAUGUCAACAAGAACCAAGGAGACAAAAAGUAGGAGGGGGCACUGCAGGACGUAAGAAGCUCCAAGUGACAAGGACACUUCUCUGGACAUUCCCAAGACUGGGAAUAGGAGCGAUCCUUAUUUAGUAUCCUUACAAAAGAGCUGACAUUGUCAGAGCUGUCAUUCUGGGUGGGACUGGCUGAGUCCAAUGCCCAGAAACUCUUCAGUUUUCCCAUUUCCGUAACCCCUCCAUAAAUGAGGUGGACUCUUGUAUCCUAAUUCUAGUUCCACUCCCGUCUUGCUCACCGGCUUCCCUUCUGACGCUUCCCCUCAAAGAAAUGCUGAAGGAAGAGGUCACACUCCAACUUUCAGACCGUCACGUCACCUAUUUGAAAUAAAAUAUAUUUCCCAUGUGUGUACACUCUUGCCUCUCUCUAAGAAAUCUGAUAUACAAAAAUUCAAAGUUAAAAAGCGACAAAUUAAGGGAAAACAAAAUAUUCUUUAGAAGAGAAUGAGCCCCCAGGAUCUGCUUAAAUAGUGAUUUUUCCCUAAUUGAAUGCACUUAAAGUGUGAUUUGCUUUGAAAAAUGUGAUUUACCUUCAUGUUUAAAAAUGUAUCUAUUGUAUAAGAGCAAUCUAGGCUUAUUCGCUUUGAUUAUUAUAAUAACCAGUGAUGAGCCGUAUGAAAAUGGCAAUCUCAUAAAAUACCUGUAUCUCUCUCCCUCUCUUUGAAGAGGAAGUAUAAUAUGUUAUUAAUCCUACCUAUUUAACAGAAAUAUAGAGGGUAUAAAUCGAACAGACUGUGUGCACUGCUGAAUAAAACUUGGGAAUAAAGUGACAAAUGUCAAUAAUGACACAUACAAACUCAACACUUCUAAAGUCAAAGAAGAUUAUUUAAUUAUUGGAUAAUUCAGGGAGAUCUAGGAAAUUGAUCUGGCAAUAUAAUAUGUUUUCAUCUCACAUUUCCCAAUCAAUUGCCUGCAUUGCAUAACUCCCUCAUUGCAGUAGUUGUCUUCUGAAUGUAAAUGAGGUAUGAAGGUCUCAUCGUUAAUCCAGGCACUUGCAAGCAGAUGAGGUCACUUCAACUGAAUAAAAGAUUGCUUGUGUCAUCUCUCUGACUUAGGGCACACAUGCCUUCUGUCCUUUUCUGAGCCUACCUGGGUAAACAUCAUCCGGUUGAAAAAGCUAACUUCUUCUUAAGGGUCAGUCAUCACAUUUGUUUAAUAUGCUUUCAUGCAGAAUCAGUCCAAGGUCAUUAGAGAACUCAGUACAGUUUUGCCAACAAGGGCAUGGAUCUGAAAAACUAACUCAGGCCCUCAGAAAGAUUAGCAGUGUGAUAUCUUAGUUCACCCAGACUCUGAAUGAUCCGAUACGUCUACACGAAUGAUGGAAAGGUAGAUUAUUUUAGACGGCUCCCAGGUAAGGAAACAUACUUAUGAAGAUGAGGAAUUAAGAAAUCUUAUAAAACUAGCUGUUUGCAUUAAUACCUUUACAAGAGACAGCUAAAAUUUAAAUUGUAAACAGGUAGUGACAAAUCCUCAAGGAUUUGGUGAGUGAUGUUUCUCGCAUCUUCACUUGUCAACAUUCCCUAUUUAUUUCUUUACUAACUGUGGCACUUUUGAGCAUUUAUAAUCAUAAAAUGCAGUUCAAAAAGAAAUCUAUCCCACAACCAGUAUAUUUAAAAAGAAAAGAUUCUCUCAAUCUCUUAUAUGAUUGGAAACUUUUCCAUGCCAACAACCUGAGGUAAAAAGGAUUUAUAGCACUAACCUAUGGACCAUAAAACUGAAAAGGAAACUGAGAAAUUGGGAUCCCUGGGUGGCGCAGCGGUUUGGCGCCUGCCUUUGGCCCAGGGCGCGAUCCUGGAGACCCGGGAUCGAAUCCCACAUCGGGCUCCCGGUGCAUGGAGCCUGCUUCUCCCUCUGCCUGUGUCUCUGCCUCUCUCUCUCUCACUGUGUGCCUAUCAUAAAUAAAUAAAAAAAAUAAAAAAAAAAAUUAAAAAAAAAAA
This 4877-nucleotide long non-coding RNA is filed under the name Canis lupus familiaris (dog). RNAcentral describes it as "lncRNA (ENSCAFG00000057974.1)". The record is from RNAcentral. Lineage: Eukaryota; Metazoa; Chordata; Mammalia; Carnivora; Canidae.